This 8493-nucleotide long non-coding RNA is filed under the name Nicotiana benthamiana. RNAcentral describes it as "long non-coding RNA (NBEN_LNC032204)". Lineage: Eukaryota; Viridiplantae; Streptophyta; Magnoliopsida; Solanales; Solanaceae. The record is from RNAcentral.
GCGUGAUACGUUGAAUAUAUAUUGACAGAAAAUCAAGUUGCUCAACCCCAAACUCCAUCGUCUUUAUUCAAAAACAAACCCAAGGGCUCAAAUCUGCACAUAGAUUCUAUUGAAUCUUUUGUGGCUCAAAUCCAAGGGCUUUCUGGAAAUUGAUCAGACAUUAAUCAUCUUUACAACCUUCUCAAACAAUCCGAAGAGUUACUUCACUCCGAGUCAACUCGCUUAGUUUCUUCGGUCGCCGAACUCGACCCUUCUAUUCACUCCCUCGGCUACCUCUAUUUCUUGUAAGUUCCUUUUGAAGGAUUAAUUUUGCAUGUAAUUGGUUGCUCAAAAGUUAUCAUAUACUUUAUGAGUGUGAAACAAUAAAAAUAAAUCAAGGGAAAAUCAUAGCAAACCGCAAUAAUCCAUUGGACCAAAUGAAAAAAGCAAAAAUUAACACCCAGAAUUAGGAGAAAAGAUAUUAAAAGCUUUUAUUGAUAAUAUUGAGUUGGUCUGCUUUUCCAUUGAGACAUUUAGAGCCUUAAAAUGUUGUUUCCCUUUCCCAUAAUAGGGGUCUCAUUGUAUCUUUCCUCUUUCUCAUGAAUAGUGGCGAAGAAGCAGCGCCCUAUUUAGGGUUCCCUCUCUUGGUAUUUAUAAUUGUGAGCUUCAUGGGUUGCCAAUAAGUGGCCGUGACCACGUUGUGUAUUUGCCCUCAUGAUGGUGAGUGGGCCGUCGCCUUAUUGGCCGAGUCAGAUAAGGGUUAAACACCAUUGGCUUUAAGUGGUCAUAUGAGUUAUUAAUCGUGAAUUAACCCAAAGAUAGGAUUACCUCGUUAAUUGUCGUGGGGUCAGAUUAUGACCCAUAUAGUUAGUCCCUCCGCUUAUUGGGGUCGUGCCCUGGCCGAACUCUAUGAGCAUACUUUGUCGACUGUAAUUCAAGAAAUUCAGGGAGGGGGGUCAACUGUUUCUUCGGUCGAGGUCAAAUUCUCUUUGGCGAUGGUUCUUAACUUUAAUAUUAUCGACGAACUUAGUCGUUUAUAUAUUGAAGAUGACCUUAGCCAUGAUACUAUUGACGACCUUAGCCGUUUACACAAUGGAGAUGGCCUUAGCGCUAAUACUAUCGACAGCCUUAGCCGUUUACACAAUAGAGAUAGCCUUAGCCUUAAUACUGUCGAUGGCCUUAGCGGUUUACACAAUGGCGAUAGCCUUGCAGAGUGUUAGUGUUUCGGUAUUUGUGUUGGAUCAUCAUUUGAUCGAGGUAGAACUCUCCUCUUUGGCGAAGAUGUUUAGACUUUAUAUUAACUCGACUGAAGUUGUGCUUUAUUGUUUAUUAAAAUUACGACCACUCGGAGACUGGUAGUAUGCUGUAUGACCGAGGAGGACGAGAAUGCGCUUGGCACGCUUUUGGCAACGUCUGAAAUUUCCAGGGCGUAUGGAACAUACCCUCAGCGUACACAAGCCUUUAUGAUCGUUUUGACGGCGAGGCAGCGGUUAGUAACUGAAAAGUCGCUUCGUGGAUCCUAUCUUUUUGACACACAUUUCUGUAAAAAACAAACCAUUUUGCGGUUGGUCAUGUAGUUAAUGAUGGCUAUUGAGGUUCGUGAAAGACACUUGUGUGCUUAUAAAUAAAGGGUUGAGACAUUUAUUUCUCACAUUCUCAUUGUUGGUCUAAGAGAGAUUUGAAGAAACUCCUCUUCUUGUUAUUUCAUCUUCCUCUUGUUCUUCGAUUAUUACAACUUACAUUUUGCCCACCAAAAAUUACCUUGUUUUUGUCAGUGAAUCAGUGAUGGCAGGUAGUUAUUCUCAAAAUGUUCUCCUAGUGAAUUUUAUGGUUAUUUUCCCGGUGGUUGAGGUACUAUCUCCAGUAAUGGGAGGUGCAGGACUGGCGGAGAUCGACGAAACUCCAUCGAUUGAUGAGAUAUUGUCUAUACCUGGAGGCAUGAUGAUUGACUUCACCAACGAUGGUGGAGAGGAUCAGGUGUAUGAAGCCCUAUUAAUCAGGGAAGUUGGAUGGUCCAAAUGCGGGAAUAGUGUGGAAUCCCCAGCUAUGCUGACAUCGUUCUCACUCGAAGCGAGGAUAGGGUACAUACCGACCGCACGGGGUACUGCGUCUUCUACACCUAUCCCUUCAAGUUGGGAUUUAAUCUUCCACUCCCCAUGCUGAUAGUUGAUUUUUGCCGCUAUUACGGGGUGUGCCUGGGUCAGCUUGCUCCUUCCCUUUAUAAACUUUUGGCGAUGUUCAUCAAGUACGCAAAACUGGCCAGUAGGGAGGUUACGCUGCAGUACGUACCCAGUCUUCAUGCUCCCUAGAGGGUACGCGGUACCAUGAUUUGAGCACGUCCUCGUGGGUCGAGGGACCUUACCCUAGAGUUGGACGAUGAGGCCGGGCUUUGCUCUUUCAAGUAUUUCUUAUAUAUCAGAACUAAUCACUUAGUGGAGUCCUUACCUGAGUUCUCAGAGGCUUGGAACCAUUCACGUAAGUUUCUUAAUAGUUGAAUUCUCUCUUUUGACCCUCUUUACGUCUUGCACCUGUAAGCGUCAAUUUUUGUGAACUUUGUUGCUGAAAGGUCGCCACCAGCUCUGCUAGCCGGUAUACGUGAGUGGGUAGAGGCCGUGCUUCCCCAAACGGUGGGGAUAUGCACGUGGGCGUCUUUCUGGGAGAGGCAUGGCCACGUUUGACAGGUUAAAAGUUGAUUUUUUCUCCUAUCCCAGUUUUAAUUCUGUUUAUCAGCUUUGUUUUUUUUGUGAUCAGGGAGGGUACGCCACGUCAGGGCCCCUCAGUUGGCUUUCCGUCAGUCAGGUGCGAUUGCUCGACUUACUACAGCAACGGUGCGGCGCCCAGUACCGAGGGCAGCAUCAGUUGAAUCUUCGGUGGCUCCUUCUCUAGCACAGGCCACACUUCGGGAUGAGGGACCAUCAGGGGUCGUGCGCCCCAGAGCUGAAUCUCCUUAACCUAAGGAGGAGAAAGAGAGGCCAUUGGUAAGACAGAGGGUCGUGUUCAUGCUGGCUCCACCUGUGGUGAUUAAUUUGGACUCCCCCAGCUGAUACAAAGAGGAGUGCGGCUGCGGCGCCUACCCUUGAGGGCGAACAAGUUGUAGGGGUUGCCCCAGUUAGCUUAGGCCAUGAUGAUACUAUCGUUUCGGUAACUCAGUUGGUGGUUCCAGUUACUGAGAUGGGAGGUAGUUCCUUAGCGGCUGCUUUUAUUGGUGAAUCAAGCACCCCUUUGACGCCAGAAGGUGGAAGGGAUGCUGUGGAUGAGUACGGGUCUGAAUCUAACUUGGACUCUGAUAAUUUUCGUAUACUACGAGAUGACUUCACCAAUUCAACGGUGCAUGCAAAGGUGCGAUCUCUCUUCAUUGAGGUUCCCAUAGAUUUGAACUUAUUGCUCCAAGGGAAUAGCUUGGUGCCAUUGUUUGAGGUGUUAUGCUCAGAGGCCAAGAACGCGCCAUUGAGGGAUGUCACGUAUAUCGGGUUGAUGAGUGAAGUGGCCGUGAUGGGCCUGAGGGUGUGUAUUAUGAUAUUGGUCCAUUUUUUCUUGCCUUCGUCUAUUUUUUAUCUCUCUUUUGUUGUUUUUCCUUUGCAGUCUUAUUUGUUGGAGGUGGAGGGCAUCCAUCGAGCCAACGUCCGCUCUGGGAUAUUUCUGCGGGUGCUGGAUAAGUACCGCCGCUACCGAGUUGGUUUUGAGGGUUUCGUGAGCCUUUGAGGUCCGAUCCUUGCAAUCGGGCUUUGGUCGAGGAGAUGGCGAGGCGGGAGCUUCAGUUACAUCAAUUACUUGGUAGAACGCACACCCUCGAGGAGCAGCUUUGUCAGAAGGACGAGGAACUUGAGGCGGGAAGGAGAGCUGCGGCUGAGAGUGAGCGAAGGGGCCAAGAUAAGGAGGCGGGAGUUUGCUGCGGCCUGGAGCGGGAAAGUGGCCGCUUUGGAGAUUGAGGUUGCGGCUCUAAGGCUUCAAGUUAGUGCUGCCUCCUCGAGAGUUGCAGGGUUGGAGGAGGAAAUUCGUGUGCAUGAAUCUUAGUGUGGAUCAGAAAGGGCUACGGCGGCCGAGAGGGAAGCAGGGCUCGAGGAGCGGAUCAACCUUCUUGAGCAGGAGGCCCAAGUUACGGUGGAUCAGGUCGCGGCCCUAGAAAGAGAGAAUCAACAGUUGUGGGACCAAGCUAGCGCUUCCAGCCAGGCUCGUGAGUUUGGGUCUUUGCUGAGGCCCAACGUGAUGUGUAUAAGAAUUUGCGGGAGGCCGGCAUCGUGAGUUGCUUUCAAAGAAGAGUGCCAAAAGGCUUAUGAGGCCUGUAGCAACUAUGGUUUUGAGGCGGCUAUGCCAGAGGUUGAUGGUGGUGCAAGUGGUAGCGCGGACGGAGCCUAAUAGAUUUGUUUUUGUUUUUUUAUUUUAUUCACCGCUUGGCGUUUGGGUGCUUCUUGUUUUUCUUUUUAUUUUUCUUUGUACCGAUCGACCUUGGCUGGGUGUAAGCGGGGAUGACCCGCAAUUAACUUUGUAGAUAAAUGAAGUUCCUUUUUCAUUAUUUGCUUCGUACUUAUUUUUUUGCCUUCCCUUCUUCCCUCAUAGACUUUUCUUUGCACGUGUUCGAAAGGGUGAUUUUCCUUCGAGUUUGACCCUGCUAGGCAUGUUUAUUUUUGAUUGUUGACUACUUAUUUCUUCAACUCGGUGUGAGUUACCUUCCCUUCUUCCCCCUUAGACUUUUCUUUGCACGCGUUCGAAAGGGUGAUUUGCCUUCGAGUUUGACCCUGCUAGGCAUGUUUAUUUUUGAUUGUUGACUACUUGUUUCUUCAACUCGGUGUGAGUGAGUCGGAGGCGUUACUUGGCGAUAGUGGCACAUAGCCUUUGUCUCAGUUCCGGCGUGGUCGAACUACCGGCCGUGAUGAUAAAAGCGUGACUUUGUAGUGUCACACCUCCCUUUUCACCUACACCCACAGAGGCAUAAGGGAAUUUUUCCAAUUAAAGGAAAAUUGGAACAAGAUUUAAUAUUAAGAGAUUCAGAGUCGCCACUUGAGAGAUUUAUGGUGUCCCAUGUCACCGGUUGAAUCCCGAAUCGAUGAAAAGAUUGACUUUGUAUUACAGUCCGUGAACCAGAAAUCCGAGUAAGAAAUUCUGUUAACCUGGAGAAGGUGUUAGGCAUUCUCGAGUUCCGCGGUUCUUGAAUGGUCGCUCAACUGUUAUAUUUGGCUUAAAUUAUCCGAUUUUAACAAUUAUGAACCUAUGUGCCAAUUUUAACUUUAACCGCUUAUAUUCAUUUUUAAAGAAAAUUGCAACGUCAUUAAAACAAGUCUUGAACCACGUCACAUAAAUGCACCCGUGGUUUUUGCACAUACUUUAACAUUGUUGAGAUUUAGAUUUAGGUCACAUAAAUGCGCACCCGAGUUUAGGGAGGUAACGAUAUUAAUAUACACGCCUAAAGAGACUAAUGCAUUAUUAUUUUUGGGGAAGGCCAUGAAAUUAAAUAAACGGCCCGUCCCGAAAUCGAAGUAUUUUAAUACGAACCUUGAAAGAUGGCCCUACAAGUUAGGCAUUUUAUUUGGCGAGGCUCAUUUUAUUUGUUUUAAAAGAGUAUCCUAAAGAAAACUAUAAUUUUAUCCUUAACUUGUCUUUAAUAAUAAAAAUUAAAACCUAACUAAUUAUUAUAUUUUAAGAAAUACUUCAUUUAGACCUGCAAAAUCCAAACAGUCUACGCGAGGGAAUCGUAAUCCAUGCGCAACACAAACUGGACCAAUCGUAGGCAUGAGUACAGGCCCCAAACGGAUAUGCAUAUCAGACCCAGGCCUGGGCCAUUCAUUUCGGCCCUGAAGCUUGCACUUUAUGCAAAGGGGCUGUCGAGCCCCAGCCGUUAAAUUAAACAAUGCUUCAGUUCAUUGUGCACAAGUGUUCACUGAAAGUUUUAAACCGUCAAAUUUAAUGAACUAACUCAACGAAAUCAACAAUUAUUCUCUGAUUUUUUACCCCAGCCCUUAUGCUAACAAAAAUUACCAACUCGAGUUCAUGUAUCUAUCAGAUUUAAAGCCGUUGUUCAUUCUAGGAAUUAACACGAACAAUCACGGAAAAGCUUAACUCGUUGAGGUGAUUAGCUAUUAUACCAUGUUAUUCAUACAAUUAGUCAUGUCUAAUUUUAUACCUGCUUGUGCCCCCAACAUCCUAAAUAUGGAAGCUAUGGUAAUUGGCUAUUACGAUCCAGAUUCACCUUCACAUUAACAUCACAACUAACUAAAUUAACUAUAGCAAAUCUGAGUAGCUCAUACAGUCACAUUCAUAUAAUCAAUAAUCCAAUGUUUCUCUAGUUUAAUUACAAGACAAGUUUCAGAAGUUCUAAUCAAUACUAAUGCAUAUUUGAAAUCUAUAACUACAGGCUAAACUAAUAGUGAAAUACAAAAGCAAAUUCAUAUGGUAGAAUUUCCUCGUCAUUUGAUUUCAUAAUCGUUCAGAUACAUCGAAUGAAACUUCAAGGCAUUAGAGACAACAUGAUACUUGGAAAUAUAAUCGAGUAGAAAGAGAAGUUAGCAAUAGAAGAGCAGAUAUCAACAACCAGGAGUUCAAACAGCAACCAUCACAGUUCAAGACCAAUGUUUUUACCCAGAAUCAACUCAACCACAGCCCAGAAAAAGUUGUAAAACCAACAGCAAUAGCAAAUACCAAAAAAACAGACUCAAUCGAGCUUGAAUUAAAUCAAAACUUAAUCAGUAGACUACUGAACCACUUCAGCAAUGAGAAUCACUGUUCAGAAUUUGAAUUGAACCUAGGAAUGCAAUGAAACAAUAUAUUUUGGUUUUAACAAUCUCUCCAUAACUCUCAAACAAUGUUUUUCCAACUCUCUGACACUCUCAAAAUGCUCUCUAAACUCUCAAAAAAACAGAAUGCCUUGGCUUUCAAAAUGCUGUCUAAGACCUCAACUGAAUGCAAUCUCAACCCUGAAUCUCCACUCAAUGGAACAAUAGGGACAAAUGUAUAUGUCUAUAUUCUCGGUCUAUUUUUUAGUCUCAAAAACCGAUUUUAAGCCCUCAAAAACUGACCUUUACGAUUGAUUAAAGACUUGUGUUUCUUUUUCAGUUUUUCAAAUUCUCUAAACUCUCUAAAACUGAUCCCUUUUUAAGCGCUCACAGACUAUCCAAAACUGACCAAAAUUCUCUCACUGCCUCUUAAAACUCUGUCUAUUACUCUUGUGUGUUCUAUGACUCUUCCCAUCAGAAUUUUCUCUUAAUGUCCAUUUAAAGAUCAAGUUUACUCCUCUUUUUCCCUUUUUUAUUCAAACACUUUUCUUUAUAGAUUGUAUAUUCCCUCCCUAUGUGCACCCUUUUAGCUUUUCAUUAUUACCCCUAUGGUAUCUACUUUCUAGCCCCUUUUCCUUUCUUUAUACUUGUAUUGUUUCAACUUUUUGUCCCCCAUGUUCUAUUCUAAUUUCCAGCCUUAAAAGGUACUAAGCCAACAAAAAAAUCUCCUUUUUAUUUAUUAAACAAACACUGGUAUGGGCAACCUGAAUUUCAAAUUUAGACGUGCCUUGACAGCGCAUGGCCUCCCACUCUAUCCUAACAUUUUAAUUUAGUGAAUCAACUUAAACUUCUUUAAUAAAUAAAUCCUAAUCUGGACUAACAAACAUGAUGCACAUUCAAAUAACAACUAAAACAAACAAAUUCACCACAUUCAACUAAUUAACCAAUUCAAUUCAACGUGAUGAGUGACAAAGCAAUUCAAACAUUGUGAUGAACUAAUCUUUAAUUUUAAGCAUACGAACUGACUUAAUUCAACACAGACAUAGAAAUAGAAAUGAAGCAGGAGGAGAAGAGGACUAGAAAUUAAAUGAAAAUCAUAAUGAAAAUAAAAGAAAAGGGAAUUAAAAUACCUAAAUGCCAAGGGGGUCUAUUAUGAAAUUGCUCCUCGUCCUUUUGAUUUGGACCGAAAUGAGUCUCGAUUAUGUGUUAUCAAAUGAAAACACAUGGUCUAGGUCUAUUUCGGUCUUCAUCGCUCCGUCGUUGGCUUUUAGGGUUUCGUCAAACUCAGGCCUCACCUCUUAUUUGAAAUUCGACACGUUUCAAAGGGAUUCGAGCGAAACGGGUAUCGGAUUUGGGGUGAGGGAGAUGGGAUUAUAUCAGGGUGUUAAUUUGGGAUGAUUUAGAGGUGGCGCCACCACCGAAGAAUCUUGUGGCGGCACUAAGGUUUGUGGCUUUAAAUGUGAUAUUCGUGGUGCUGGGCUGGGAUUUAAGGGAAAAUGGUUAGGGAUUCGGAAUGGGAAGGCCGAAGGGAAUUGGUGGUGUAAAAAUGGAGGUAUUUGGCCUACCGGAACCGCCCUGAGGCAAUUUCUGGUGGGUGGGGGUGGCGGAGUGAGGCAGGGAUAUCUGGUCUCUUCGAAGACGGAAAUGGGGAGGGGUUCUGAGGGGAAGGUAGGGUUUGGGGGAGGGGGGUUUGAUAUGUUAAAAUCUAAUUAACUAAUCUAGACCGUUGGAUCAAAUAAAUUCAACGGUUCAUAUUAGUUGAGGGGUCAAAAUGGGGUCGUUUGGCUUAGUGCUAGGGACUGGGUUG